This 1725-nucleotide long non-coding RNA is filed under the name Gadus morhua (Atlantic cod). Its description in RNAcentral is "lncRNA (ENSGMOG00000027578.1)". Lineage: Eukaryota; Metazoa; Chordata; Actinopteri; Gadiformes; Gadidae. The record is from RNAcentral.
AGGUUAGGAAAUGGUUGUGAUGUGUUUGUUUUCAAGUGGACAUACCAGGAGGAUGAUUGUCGUGGUGGUUGUUGUAGCUGGAGUUGUGGUUGUUGGAACUGCUGUUGUGGUUGUUGGAGCUGCUGUUGUGGUUGUUGGAGCUGCUGUUGUGGUUGUUGGAGCCGCUGUUGUGGUUGUUGGAGCCGAUGUUGUGGUUGUUGGAGCCGCUGUUGUGGUUGUUGGAGCCGCUGUUGUGGUGGUUGGAGCCGCUGUUGUGGUGGUUGGAGCCGCUGUUUGGUGGUUGGAGCCGCUGUUGUGGUGGUUGGAGCCGCUGUUGUGGUGGUUGGAGCCGCUGUUGUGGUUGUUGGAGCCGCUGUUGUGGUUGUUGGAGCCGCUGUUGUGGUUGUUGGAGCCGCUGUUUGUAGUUGUUGGAGCCGCUGUUGUGGUUGUUGGAGCUGCUGUUUGGUUGUUGGAGGCGCGGUUGUGGUUGUUGGAGCUGCUGUUGUAGUUGUUGGAGCUGCUGUUGUGGUAGUCAGAAUUGCUGUUGUGGUUGUUGAAGGCGCUGUUGUGGUUGUUGGAGCUGCUGUUGUGGUUGUUGGAGCUGCUGUUGUGGUUGUUGGAGCCGCUGUUGUGGUUGUUGGAGCCGCUGUUGUGGUUGUUGGAGCCGCUGUUGUGGUGGUUGGAGCCGCUGUUGUGGUGGUUGGAGCCGCUGUUGUGGUGGUUGGAGCCGCUGUUGUGGUGGUUGGAGCCGCUGUUGUGGUGGUUGGAGCCGCUGUUUGUGGUGGUUGGAGCCGCUGUUGUGGUUGUUGGAGCCGCUGUUGUGGUUGUUGGAGCCACGUUGUGGUUGUUGGAGCCGCUGUUGUGGUUGUUGGAGCCGCUGUUGUGGUUGUUGGAGCCGCUGUUGUGGUUGUUGGAGCCGCUGUUGUGGUUGUUGGAGCUGCUGUUGUGGUUGUUGGAGGCGCGGUUGUGGUUGUUGGAGCUGCUGUUGUAGUUGUUGGAGCUGCUGUUGUGGUAGUCAGAAUUGCUGUUGUGGUUGUUGAAGGCGCUGUUGUGGUUGUUGGAGCUGCUGUUGUGGUUGUUGGAGCUGCUGUUGUGGUUGUUGGCCGCUGUUGUGGUUGUUGGAGCCGCUGUUGUGGUGGUUGGAGCCGCUGUUGUGGUGGUUGGAGCCGCUGUUGUGGUUGUUGGAGCCGCUGUUGUGGUUGUUGGAGCCGCUGUUGUGGUUGUUGGAGCCGCUGUUGUGGUUGUUGGAGCCGCUGUUGUGGUUGUUGGAGCUGCUGUUGUGGUUGUUGGAGCCGCUGUUGUAGUUGUUGGAGCUGCUGUUGUGGUAGUCAGAAUUGCUGUUGUGGUUGUUGGAGCCGCUGUUGUGGUUGUUGGAGCCGCUGUUGUGGUGGUUGGAGCCGCUGUUGUGGUGGUUGGAGCCGCUGUUGUGGUGGUUGGAGCCGCUGUUGUGGUGGUUGGAGCCGCUGUUGUGGUUGUUGGAGCCGCUGUUGUGGUGGUUGGAGCCGCUGUUGUGUGGUGUUGGAGCCGCUGUUGUGGUGGUUGGAGCCGCUGUUGUGGUGGUUGGAGCCGCUGUUGUGGUUGUUGGAGCCGCUGUUGUGGUUGUUGGAGCCGCUGUUGUGGUUGUUGGAGCCGCUGUUGUGGUUGUUGGAGCUGCUGUUGUGGUUGUUGGAGCUGCUGUUGUGGUUGUUGGAGCUGCUGUUGUGGUUGUUGGAGGCGCGGUUGUGGUUGUUGGAGCUGCUGUUGUAG